GAAAUUCACUGGGCCUCCUGCUCCUUUAAACUCGCGCUUUCGCUCCCGCCGACACUUGACAAAAGCGGCGGCAGCGGGGCCGCGCCGAGCCAGCGCCUGGUGUCCCCGAGCGCGGGCCUGGGGGCCGGAGGGGCUCGCGGGGUCAGGGAGCCGCGGGGCUCUGGUUUGCUUUGCUUACCACCCCCAACUAAUGUGAGAGCAGCCCUCCUGGAAGGGCGCUGUAACGAACCCCUAGCGCGUAGCAGACCCCGCAGGCGCCCGAGCCGGGGCCGGGGGACCCCCGCCCCCACCCCCAGCCACCGCCGGGAGCGCAGGCGGCUAGGGAGCCAGGUGGGUGCGGGCAGCGCCCGGGCUGCCGAGGGCGCGGGCCGGUACGAGGAUGGCGCCCCGGCGGCGCGGGGAAGCCGCCCCGUGCUUCCCUCCCCUGUCUCCCCGCCGACUCCGCUCACGGCCGGCGCCCCGGACCGCCAGCGGCGGGGGCGCGCGGGGCUGGAGCUGCCCUCGCCCUUCCCCUGGCCGGGCCGUUCCGGCUUAGGCUGUCGGCGACUCCGCUGCCAGCCAAGGAAAGUGCAGCCAUUGGGCAGCCUCAUUUUCCGGGCUUCGGACCUCAGCUCUUCGAGCUGCCCAUCGCUCCGGCGGCCAGAAAGGACGCGCGCCCUGCGCUGGGCGAAGGAAAGAAGCAAAAACUCGUCGGAGGGGCUUCCCUAGCCGAGACCCCCCUGCCUGAAAAUCGAGGCCUCCCGCUGGGACCGUCCCAGGGCUGGGGAAAGUUCCUCGGAACCCACAGCGCCCUUGGAUUUGGAGCCUGCCGCGGCGCUGGCUGUGGAAUCCGCUCUGCUCGGAGCCCAGCGGAGCGCGUCGCGGGCGCUAGGAAGCCGCCGUCUGCGGGCGCCGGAGCGGCGCUGCCCGUGCGGAGCCGAGAGUUUGCAGCAGCCCCGGCCGCGAGUGGGCCCGUCGCCCCGCGGUUGUUUCCUGCGCGGGGCGCGGCGGCGAGGUCGGCAAGUUGCGAGGAGACCCUCAUGGGUCCAGAGAGGGCUGCGCUCCGCUCCGACUCGCAUCCCUUCCUGCUGUCCCCGGCGCUCGGGCGUGAAAUCGAUGGCGACGUGUACGGGAGGCCUCCUGGGUCCCGACGAUACUGAUCUGCGGCG
Molecule: long non-coding RNA, 1148 nt
Filed under: Oryctolagus cuniculus (rabbit)
Lineage: Eukaryota; Metazoa; Chordata; Mammalia; Lagomorpha; Leporidae
Description: lncRNA (ENSOCUG00000032226.1)
Source: RNAcentral